Molecule: ribosomal RNA, 460 nt
Filed under: uncultured bacterium
Lineage: Bacteria
Description: partial 16S ribosomal RNA
Rfam family: Bacterial small subunit ribosomal RNA
Source: RNAcentral
CCUACGGGAGGCAGCAGUGAGGAAUAUUGGUCAAUGGGCGCGAGCCUGAACCAGCCAAGUAGCGUGAAGGAUGACUGCCCUACGGGUUGUAAACUUCUUUUAUAAGGGAAUAAAGUGAGUCACGUGUGCCGUUUUGUAUGUACUUUAUGAAUAAGGACCGGCUAAUUCCGUGCCAGCAGCCGCGGUAAUACGGAGGAUCCGAGCGUUAUCCGGAUUUAUUGGGUUUAAAGGGAGCGUAGAUGGGUUGUUAAGUCAGUUGUGAAAGUUUGCGGCUCAACCAUAAAAUUGCAAUUGAUACUGGCAGUCUUGAGUACAGUUGACGUAGGCGGAAUUCGUGGUGUAGCGGUGAAAUGCUUAGAUAUCACGAAGAACUCCGAUUGCGAAGGCAGCUUACUAAACUGCCACUGACAUUGAUGCUCGAAAGUGUGGGUAUCAAACAGGAUUAUAUACCCGAGUAGUC